This 87-nucleotide transfer RNA is filed under the name Planctomycetota bacterium. Its description in RNAcentral is "tRNA-Leu". It matches the Rfam family "tRNA". Rfam says of the family: Transfer RNA (tRNA) molecules are approximately 80 nucleotides in length. Their secondary structure includes four short double-helical elements and three loops (D, anti-codon, and T loops). Lineage: Bacteria; Pseudomonadati; Planctomycetota. The record is from RNAcentral.
GGGGGAAUGGCGGAAUUGGUAGACGCAUCGGCCUUAAAAGCCGAAGUCCUCACGGACGUCCGGGUUCGAUUCCCGGUUCCCUCACCA